GACGAACGCUGGCGGCGUGCUUAACACAUGCAAGUCGAGCGGUAAGGCCCUUUCGGGGGUACACGAGCGGCGAACGGGUGAGUAACACGUGGGUGACCUGCCCUCAGCUCUGGGAUAAGCCUGGGAAACUGGGUCUAAUACCAGAUAUGACUCCAUGACGCAUGUUGUGGGGUGGAAAGCCUUGUGCGGCUGAGGAUGGGCCCGCGGCCUAUCAGCUUGUUGGUGGGGNGAUGGCCUACCAAGGCGACGACGGGUAGCCGGCCUGAGAGGGCGACCGGCCACACUGGGACUGAGACACGGCCCAGACUCCUACGGGAGGCAGCAGUGGGGAAUCUUGCGCAAUGGGCGAAAGCCUGACGCAGCGACGCCGCGUGAGGGAUGACGGCCUGGUGUAAC
Molecule: ribosomal RNA, 396 nt
Filed under: uncultured bacterium
Lineage: Bacteria
Description: bacterial SSU rRNA
Rfam family: Bacterial small subunit ribosomal RNA
Source: RNAcentral